UACGUAGGUGGCAAGCGUUGUCCGGAUUUACUGGGCGUAAAGGGAGCGUAGGCGGACUUUUAAGUGAGAUGUGAAAUACUCGGGCUCAACUUGAGUGCUGCAUUUCAAACUGGAAGUCUAGAGUGCAGGAGAGGAGAAUGGAAUUCCUAGUGUAGCGGUGAAGUGCGUAGAGAUUAGGAAGAACACCAGUGGCGAAGGCGAUUCUCUGGACUGUAACUGACGCUGAGGCUCGAAAGCGUGGGGAGCAAACAGG
RNAcentral lists this ribosomal RNA (253 nucleotides) under uncultured bacterium. RNAcentral's name for it is "partial 16S ribosomal RNA". It matches the Rfam family "Bacterial small subunit ribosomal RNA", at positions 524 to 776 of the family's 1533-position model. The record is from RNAcentral.